GCCCGGCUAGCUCAAUGGGUAAGUGCAUCAUCACCAUUCUUCAAAUUUCAGAAAUUGAUCUGAUCGCCUUUCAGUUAGAGCUUCGGACUUUUAAUCCGAAGGUUGAGGGUUCGAGUCCCUUGUCGGGCG
RNAcentral lists this transfer RNA (129 nucleotides) under Cytospora mali. RNAcentral's name for it is "tRNA-Lys (TTT) (tRNA-Lys-TTT-2-1)". It matches the Rfam family "tRNA". From Rfam's summary of the family: Transfer RNA (tRNA) molecules are approximately 80 nucleotides in length. The record is from RNAcentral. Lineage: Eukaryota; Fungi; Ascomycota; Sordariomycetes; Diaporthales; Cytosporaceae.